GACGAACGCUGGCGGCGUGCUUAACACAUGGAAGUCGAACGGAAAGGCCCUGCUCUUGUGGGGUGCUCGAGUGGCGAACGGGUGAGUAACACGUGAGUAACCUGCCCUUGACUUUGGGAUAACUUCAGGAAACUGGGGCUAAUACCGGAUAGGAGCUCCUGCAGCAUGGUGGGGGUUGGAAAGUUUCGGCGGUUGGGGCUGGACUCGCGGCUUAUCAGCUUGUUGGUGGGGUAGUGGCUUACCAAGGCUUUGACGGGUAGCCGGCCUGAGAGGGUGACCGGCCUCAUUGGGACUGAGAUACGGCCCAGACUCCUACGGGAGGCAGCAGUGGGGAGUAUUGCACAAUGGGCGGAAGCCUGAUGCAGCAACGCCGCGUGCGGGAUGACGGCCUUCGGGUUGUAAACCGCUUUCGCAUGUGACGAAGCGUGAGUGACGGUAAUGGGUAAAGAAGCACCGGCUAACUACGUG
This 468-nucleotide ribosomal RNA is filed under the name uncultured bacterium. RNAcentral's name for it is "partial 16S ribosomal RNA". It matches the Rfam family "Bacterial small subunit ribosomal RNA", at positions 28 to 507 of the family's 1533-position model. The record is from RNAcentral.